This is a long non-coding RNA of Sinocyclocheilus anshuiensis, 91 nucleotides long. RefSeq lists it as uncharacterized. Lineage: Eukaryota; Metazoa; Chordata; Actinopteri; Cypriniformes; Cyprinidae. The transcript has 3 exons. The record is from RefSeq and is a predicted model, not a curated record.
AGUGUGUGUGCAACAUUAUUGUUAAGUGUUCAUGAGCUGGAUUGCCUGAGGGAAGAGACUGUUCUUAUGCCUGGCCGCUCUGGUGCUCAGU